Molecule: ribosomal RNA, 464 nt
Filed under: uncultured bacterium
Lineage: Bacteria
Description: partial 16S ribosomal RNA
Rfam family: Bacterial small subunit ribosomal RNA
Source: RNAcentral
GACGAACGCUGGCGGCGUGCUUAACACAUGCAAGUCGAACGGAAAGGCGCUGCUUGCGGGGUACUCGAGUGGCGAACGGGUGAGUAACACGUGGGUGAUCUGCCCUGCACUUCGGGAUAAGCCUGGUCAACUGGGUCUAAUACCGGCUAGGAGCCAUUUUUAGUGUGAUGGUUGGAUAGUUUUUUCGGUGUAGGAUGAGCUCGCGGCCUAUCAGCUUGUUGGUGGGGUAAUGGCCUACCAAGGCGGCGACGGGUAGCCGGCCUGGGAGGCGGGACGGCCACCUUGAGACUGAGGGACGGCCCAGACGCCUACGGGAGGCAGCAGUGGGGAAUAUUGCACAAUGGGCGCAAGCCUGAUGCAGCGACGCCGCGUGGGGGAUGACGGCUUACGGGUUGAAAACUCCUGUCGCUAGGGACGAAGCUUUUUGUGACGGUACCUAGAUAAGAAGCACCGGCUAACUACGU